Molecule: long non-coding RNA, 1134 nt
Organism: Nerophis ophidion (straightnose pipefish)
Lineage: Eukaryota; Metazoa; Chordata; Actinopteri; Syngnathiformes; Syngnathidae
Exons: 9
Source: RefSeq, a predicted model, not a curated record
CUGAUUGGCCGCUGGACGAUGUCUGCUCCUAACAGAGGCCUAAAUCACUAGUUAACUAUUUUCAUCAUGGAAAUUAUACAGCUCACGUAUCACACUUAAUAUUGAAUAUAUAUAAAAAGGGUUUUCCAAAAGGACCAUUUAUAAUCGAAAUACAAAACUUCACACACGAUUUUGAGCACAACAGAGCGCUCAGUGAACAGCACUUCCGGGACCUGCAUCACCGGAGGGGGACAUCUAUCUUGGCCACAAACCAUCUUUGACAGUCUUCGGCAGCAUGGUUGAAUCAGGCGCAUCAACACAUGAUAUAGACAUCGUGCCCAAAAGAAGAGCGAGACGUAAUCCUGAGGCUGAAGCUACCGAGUUUAUUUGAUCUGGAUGUGACAAGUCUUGUUUUAAGGCCCAGUGGAUCAAUGAUUGGAAAGACACCAACUGUUGAUGUUCUAUCUCAACAUUCUCCAGACUCAUGUGACCGAUAAACCGACUUCAUCCCUCCAACAGACACCAACUGUUGGGGUUCUAUCUCAACAUUCUCCAGAUUCAGAUGUGAGCGAUAAACCGACUUCAUCCCUCCAACAGACACCAACUGUUGGGGUUCUAUCUCAACAUUCUCCAGAUUCAGAUGUGAGCGAUAAACCGACUUCAUCCCUCCAACAGAAACCAACUGUUGAGGUUCCAUCUCAACAUUCUCCAGAUUCAGAUGUGAGCCAUUAACUGACUUCAUCCCUCCAACAGAAACCAACUGUUGAGGUUCUAUCUCAACAUUCUCUAGAUUCAGAUGACAGCCAUAAACCGACUUCAUCCCUCCAACAGAUUGACAGCAGGACAAAUCGCUGGAAGUAGGUAUGUCUCAAGCUUCUUCCACUUGGUCCACUCCAAAGCGGGCUGCAAAGGGGAAGAAGUGGAAGCAGUUGAAUGACACAUGUUGCAUUUUGUAACUGGCAACAAAGUACCAGGUAAAAAAGAUUGUGAAGCCUCCCUCCAUAAAGAACUAGUAGCUCUACAGGACAGAGAUUGGCUUGCCAUCAAGUACUACAUCCAUAACAGAAUUAUAUUAAAAAAAGGGGAAAAAAAUGUUUUCCCACAUCUUCUGUGGUAGUUUGAGUAUGUUACCAGCAAUUAAAAAAGCAAAAUAAA